This 28-nucleotide small RNA is filed under the name Bombyx mori (domestic silkworm). RNAcentral's name for it is "ovarian small RNA-11527". Lineage: Eukaryota; Metazoa; Arthropoda; Insecta; Lepidoptera; Bombycidae. The record is from RNAcentral.
ACGCGUCGAGCCAGCGCUGGCACACCUC